UUCAUGGUCCAUGUGGAUAGACCAGGUGAAAAGGAGAAGAAAGAAUGGGAAUAAAACAGAGAGAAGCAGAAAGAGCCUGAUCAGAGAGAGAUAUGAUGAGGUAUGCAUUUACAGGGGCAGUGCUAAAACCAAAAUGAAAAGUCACUGCAUUCCUCAAGGAGCUCAUUGCCUCGUUAUACCAAAUGGAGCUAGUGGAAUUGUUCAGAUCUGGAGGAGUCCCGUCCCUGGGAAGGCAGAUCCAGGAGAGCACAACCGGCAGAGGCCAGGCUGCUCGUGUUGGGCUGAUGGCCAGGCACAAGCUGCGGGGGACAAAUGCCAUGCUGGGGGACAAACAACAUGCUGGCCAGGAGUUGGGUGAAGGGAGCGCUCAGCAUCCCCUCCAUCCCUUUGCUGGGCUUCCAUGCUGAUGUAACAUCGGUGCAUGGUGAUGUCAACAGUUGACCCUACGCCUCCCCAUCCUGCUCUGUCCUCCCCUUGCUGGGCUGGGGGCAGCUCUGUGUCUCCUGACCUGGUUGCUGCUGACCACAGUGCAUUGGGGUGUGCCAUCAGAUCCCAACCUGAACCAGAGCUGCAUGGAGCCCAAGAGGAUUACAACAUCCAAAGUCAACCCGAGCGGUGGAAGCUAGCUAUUAGCUAAUGCAACCUCACCACUUCCUCUGCGAAUCCCUGAUUCACAGCAAAGGAAAAGACAGCACAACAGAGCCCCAAGCAAUUUGCUGUAAGGCUGCUCCAACGCCCAGCUCCCAGCCCACGCUGAUCCAUCACGCUGCACCCGAACGGACUGCGUGCAUCACCCAGCACUGCUGCAAUGGCUCUAGCAGCAGGAUGCAUUAGCAUUCCUGGUAAUGGAGACCAAGGGGCACGGUGGGGAGGAGAUGCUGCUAUAAUGGACAAGGGAUGCAGCAGUCUGGCUGUAGCAAUUAAAAGGGUAAGUGAUGAGAGAGAUGGGUGCAGCAGGAGGGCUGCCAGUAGGUUUGUUCUCUUCACAGCAAUACAGCUCCUAUGGCUGGGAAUGGAUAGUCAUCAAAACAGGGGAUGCUCAGGCUGAGCAAAGCUGCAAGGAAGAAACAUAGGAGCCAAAAAAAGGGGGAAUUUAAGGCA
RNAcentral lists this long non-coding RNA (1101 nucleotides) under Gallus gallus (chicken). RNAcentral's name for it is "long non-coding RNA NONGGAT005394". Lineage: Eukaryota; Metazoa; Chordata; Aves; Galliformes; Phasianidae. The record is from RNAcentral.